CUGCCUAUAGGAAUUUGGGUCGCUUUCGUCUUUCUUGGUGAGUUCAACAACAAUGAGUUUCGGUGGACUACCUCCUCAGCUACUUCAGCUUCUGCACUGCAGGGCGAUGACAGCCUCAUUACAGCGGUGGUCGCCUCUUCCUUGGUUCUGGUGAGUUCCUGGUCUCCUCCCUCUCUCCCUUAUGCCUUGAGAUUAUCCAGCCAUUGAGUCAUGGCUGAUUAUCGAGCCAAUCAUAGGGUUCGGUUAUGUGGUCAUGUUGUCUGUGGUGGUGGUCUUCUGCCCACCAGAGUCUUGUGAUUGUGAUGAUCUUGUUGAUGAAUUGCCCCAUGUGGUGAUUAGGCCCUUGUGCUAUUUUACGCUAUUUGUGAUGGUUUGAUAUUUAUUUAGGAUCUUGGUGUGCUACUGCCUAGGGUGUAGAACUUGAUAUGGAAGGAACAAAUCUUUUACUGCACUUGCUGCACCUUGAAAACUUAAGUUUCAAAUUGGAGAUUCAAUUCAGGUUGACAUGUGUCUCCUGUAAUAUACAAGGAAACAUCUAUUUCACCUCCAGUUGCCGCGCUUGCAAGAUUGUAUGUUAACUGUUAAACUAUCUUUAUGUCUGAAAGGGAAUGAGCUUCCUAACUAUGCAUAGUCAUGUAAUUUCAAGUAGUUAUGACGCAGUCUUCAAUCUCUCUCUGGCACUCUGCAUACUAUGACAGUCACCCUGUAUAGACGCCAUUUGAAGGAUUUUAUGCUUACCUUGGUCUGCAUGUAUGAAGUGCGAUUUAUCUAUGAGCAACUUGCUAUUGGUUUUAGCAAAGAUGUACUUCCUCCGUUCCUAAAUAUAAGUCUUUUAGAGAUUCUAAUGCGGACACAUACAUAACAAAAUGAGUGAAUCUACACUCUACAGUAUGUCUAUAUACAUCCGUAUGCAGUCCUUAUUGCAGUUCAUAGAUUCAUAUAAUACUAGAUAGUAGCUUAUCUUCUCUUGGUAUUUACAUAUAUAUUUGAUGCUCUUAGAUGGACACUCAAACUCCUGCUUUUAGAUAUGGUAAUGGCUCACUAAGGGCAUUUCCAACGCGGAUCACCAGAACAGCCCUCACCAAAUGUCUAUGGACAGGGAUAGGGGUGGAGACAUCCAACCACAAUCACCAAAUGUCCGCCCCUGGUCCAGCCUCCUCCAUUUGACAUGCAUAUCUAGAUCAAUACCAAUUUAAGCAUACGUUUAAUAGUUGCAAACAUAUGCACCGGAUCUUCAAUAUGUUUUUACAGAUUCCAAAAGUUGCUAGUCCGGCUGUCCAUGUCAAAGACCUUCAUCGGCUCCCAUUCCGGCUGUCUGUGGCAAAGACCUCACUCUUUGGCUUCUCCGGCCUCCUCCCUUUGCGCGAAGCGCUUCAAUAUGCUCACACGCUAGGCUUGGACAAUCUUCGCCGCAUCGGAAUCCAAGUCCGACGUUUUCACGAACAACAUUUUGGAGUCCUCCGAAGCGGCCUUGAUCUCAAGCUUCUUCUCUUGGAGCUUGAGCUUCUUGUCUUGCAUCUCCAUGAAGAUGCCAAAUCUCUCCCCCUUAUUUCCCUCUUUCACCUCAUUGCGUGCGACACUUGCCUCCUCCUUCGUCAUGAUGUCCUUGAACUUCUUCGUCAUCUUGGCCGCCGCCCCUUCUCCCUUCUUUUUCCCCUCCUCCCACUUCCUUCCCUGGUUCCUAAUCACCUUCUUGGCCAAAGCAAGUCCAUCUUGUCUUGGAACGGUUGGAUCACCACCUUCGUCUUCAUUGAGCAUGGCGUUGACGGAAUUGGCAAUCAAGGCGGUCCACUUGCUUUGCCCAUUCAACUUCAACUAACAAUGCAUAUAGAUGAAGUGCUUCUUCUCCAUCUUGUGAUAUAAUGUGCAUGCACGUACGACCGAGCAAAGGAAGACAAUGGAUGGUCAACAAGUUGCAACAUUGAGCAAAUCAAUGAAAUGACCAACACAUAGAGCAACAAGGCACACAACUUAUGAGAUCUUGGAUUGCCGCGCUACUUGGCCAUCAGGUUUUCACUUAAUUGUAAAAGCUGCAGAACUUGUUGAUGCCCUCUUUGAAUGUUGUACAUUUGAUGGUUGAGCGACUUUGAAUUGCGCUGAUGGAUCACUUCCUUGUGGUAGGGAUUGUAGUGCUUUUGCUCGUGAAACCAAAUAUGCAUGCUUUGCUAAAAUGCCACGCUCUGUUACUAGUGGCCAACCAAUGCCUCACAACAACUCAUCCUCCUUUGGGGAGAAAUUUAGUCCCUCUGCUUCUUCUUUGGGUCGACGCCCGGCGCCCACUGCUCAUCCGGAUCCAUGUGCGGCUGCUGGGUGUCCAACUGCUGGGUGCAUGUUUGUUGGGUGUCCUACUGUGGUUGUUUCUACGGCUAGGAGUCAUCCACUUAUUCGUCUUCGUAGCUGCUUUCGUCGUGGAUAAUGUUCAUCAUCGCCUCGUCGGCUACCGCUGUCCCGCUUGGAUGGGGCAUUCCGGCAAACAUUGAUUGGGCAUCGACGGACGAGCAGUCCACAGCCGCCAUCCGCGAUCGGACAAGCUCCCGUGACUGCGACUCCGUGAAGGCAUAGUCGGUGUUGAGGUCGACGGUGAGACUUGAUGGCUGGAGGUGGAGGAGGACGUGGACUGUUGCGGCGAUUGCUGUGGAAUGAGGUGCUGGGAGGCGUAGUAGUAGAGUGGCUUCAGCUGGGAUGGCCACGACGUCGAUUGCCUGGGCGACACCAGGGUGGCGGCGCACUUUGACCGGCCGCCGAUGAACCCCCCGCCUUCUUAUUCGCCCUGUGAUGGCGGGUGCUGCGCUCCGCAGACGCGGCCUUGCGGGCGGCCACCACGGUCGGGGUCCUCUGGCUCCAUCACGGUGGCGCCUGAACGGUGUUGGUGGUGGUGGUGUGCGUGUGUGUGUGUGUGUGUGGGGGGGGGGGUUGGAGGCAGUGGGAAAGGGUGGGCUUUCCCGCGGAAACAGUGGUGGGAAUGUCCAAAUGUGCGUGCUUUGGAUGGGGUUCUUGGGUCGGUCGGGCGUGUCUGAGUCUGACGCGGCGAACGUCCGGACGCCUGUAAACCUCCCCAACGUUUGGUUCCAGUUUGUGGGAUUUCGGACAUCUGGACCGGUCUGGACAAAUUUGGUGACCUUUGUUGGAUGGCAAAAAAAAUGUCCUAACAGUCCAGUCCGGACAUUUAGUGGCGAUUUGUUGAUCCGCGUUGGAGUUGCCCUAACCCGGCAUGGUUUAGGUUCAGGUUCUAACCAUCAAGAACAUGUUCCUUAUUUAUCUCUCCCGUUGUCCGGGAUGUUUGGUAGCAACUAAUCUUGACGUGUGAACAGGUUGGUCAUGGCGUCACGUGCACACAGACCUGCAGCUCUCGUUUCCAUGACCUGGUGGUCGUUGUCACGGUCUCGGAUGACGGUGGUUCACCACCUUGCUUCCAGUGCCGAUGAGACAAUGGGGUUGUCACCCCGUAAUCUCGUAAUCUCAGCGUCGGCUCCCACGACUGCCUCCUCGGCUACCACUACUUAGGUGAGUCCUUGGUCUCUCCUUUCUCCUCUGUCUGUUCUGGGAUCUAGCCUUCGUGCUAUGGCCAUACUGUGCAGUCAUCUCAUUGCAUAUCUGGUAGUUUCAAACAUCGUGCAGUAUGUGCCAAUUUCUUCCGCCUCAAUUUUUUUUGGCAUGAAAGAAUAAUUUGAUAGCUUUGAUUCAUUUUAUCAAUUAGACCUCUGUUGUCAAAUAGAACAAUGUGCACUUAGUUAAAUUUCUAAUAUUGCUGCUUCCCUUUUGAUUUAGGAUAUUUUUGGGACCAUUGAGUUUAUAUGAUCUUUUGACUGUCUGGCGCAGUGGGGAGGAUCUGCCCACUUGUGCCAAGAGGUCAUGGGUUCGACACAGUCCCUCUGCAUUGCACUGUGCAGGGGUAAGGCUUGCUUCAUAUGACUCCAUUGGCGUAGGGCGGCCGGAAUUGGGCGCGACGGCAGCUGUGGGGUGAAGUUUCACUUUGGGUGUUGGGGUUCCCGCCGCAGCCCUUUUGGUUUUCGGGCAGCUGUUAGUGGUGAUGUGUAAUUUGCAUCACCUGUAGCAAUUUUUUGGGCACGACCUAAAUUUUUUUGGGCACCAUAUAUACCUGUAGUGCUGCUGUUGGAGGCGUUUUAUUUGACCCCCACCCCAAGUGACCUAAAAAGCAUUUUUUUGGGCACAGCUGCAUUUUUAGGGCUGCUGUUGGGGAUGCUCAUGUAGUUAUCACGCAGUGUUCAGACUCUGCAUUCUAUGACGGUCACCCUGUAUUGACACCAUUUGAUUAAUCUUAUGUUACCUUGGUCUGCUUGUAUGAAGUGCCAUUUAUUUAUCUUUGAGCAAUCUGCUAUUGGUGUUAGCAAAGCCGUAUUUGUUUGUAAUCUGGCAAUGGUUUAUAGGUCUCGUUUACUUGAUAGCAAAUUCACAAUGGUUCAACUGAAUCUUGAUUUAUCUACAUUUUUUUUAAGUUUUUGGUUAGCUGCAACUCACGGGUCCUUGUCAGUCUGUUACAUAAUCUAAAGACUAAAGAGCCAUGGACUUUUUCCACUUAUUUAGUCAGCACCUUUGUUCUGCAUUUUGUUCACUAGAGAGAUCUGAUUCGGCUGUUUGAAUAUUACAGGAGAGCAUAACAACAACAACAACAAAGCCUUUAGUCCCAAACAAGUUGGGGUAGGCUAGAGGUGAAACCCAUAAGAUCUCGCAACCAACUCAUGGCUCUGGCACAUGGAUAGCAAGCUUCCACGCACCCCUGUCCAUAGCUAGCUCUUUGGUGAUACUCCAAUCCUUCAGGUCUCUCUUAACGGACUCCUCCCAUGUCAAAUUCGGUCUACCCCGCCCUCUCUUGACAUUCUCUGCACGCUUUAGCCGUCCGCUAUGCACUGGAGCUUCUGGAGGCCUGCGCUGAAUAUGCCCAAACCAUCUCAGACGAUGUUGGACAAGCUUCUCCUCAAUUGGUGCUACCCCAACUCUAUCUCGUAUAUCAUCAUUCCGGACUCGAUUCUUCCUCGUGUGGCCACACAUCCAUCUCAACAUACGCAUCUCCGCCACACCUAACUGUUGAACAUGUCGCCUUUUAGUCGGCCAACACUCCGCGCCAUACAACAUUGCGGGUCGAACCGCCGUCCUGUAGAACUUGCCUUUUAGCUUUUGUGGCACUCUCUUGUCACAGAGAAUGCCAGAAGCUUGGCGCCACUUCAUCCAUCCGGCUUUGAUUUGAUGGUUCACAUCUUCAUCAAUACCCCCAUCCUCCUGCAACAUUGACCCCAAAUACCGAAAGGUGUCCUUCCGAGGUACCACCUGGCCAUCAAGGCUAACCUCCUCCUCCUCACACCUAGUAGUACUGAAACCGCACAUCAUGUACUCGGUUUUAGUUCUACUAAGCCUAAACCCUUUCGAUUCCAAGGUUUGUCUCCAUAACUCUAACUUCCUAUUUACCCCCGUCCGACUAUCGUCAACUAGCACCACAUCAUCCGCAAAGAGCAUACACAAUGGGAUAUCUCCUUGUAUAUCCCUUGUGACCUCAUCCAUCACCAAUGCAAAAAGAUAAGGGCUCAAAGCUGACCCCUGAUGCAGUCCUAUCUUAAUCGGGAAGUCAUCGGUGUCGACAUCACUUGUUCGAACACUUGUCACAACAUUAUCGUACAUGUCCUUGAUGAUGGUAAUGUACUUUGCUGGGACUUUGUGUUUCUCCAAGGCCCACCACAUGACAUUCCGCGGUAUCUUAUCAUAGGCCUCCUCCAAGUCAAUGAACACCAUAUGCAAGUCCUUCUUUUGCUCCCUAUAUCUCUCCAUAAGUUGUCGUACCAAGAAAAUGGCUUCCAUGGUCGACCUCCCAGGCAUGAAACCAAACUGAUUUUUGGUCACGCUUGUCAUUCUUCUUAAGCGGUGCUCAAUGACUCUCUCCCAUAGCUUCAUUGUAUGGCUCAUCAGCUUAAUUCCACGGUAAUUAGUACAACUCUGAACAUCCCCCUUGUUCUUGAAGAUUGGUACUAAUAUACUCCGUCUCCAUUCUUCUGGCAUCUUGUUUGCCCGAAAAAUGAGGUUGAAAAGCUUGGUUAGCCAUACUAUUGCUAUGUCCCCGAGACCUUUCCACACCUCAAUGGGGAUACAAUCAGGGCCCAUCGCCUUGCCUCCUUUCAUCCUUUUUAAAGCCUCCUUCACCUUAGACUCCUGGAUUCGCCGCACAAAACGCAUGCUGGUCUCAUCAAAGGAGUCGUCUAGUUCAAUGGUAGAACUCUCAUUCUCCCCAUUGAACAGCUUGUCGAAGUACUCCCGCCAUCUAUGCUUAAUCUCCUCGUCCUUCACCAAGAGUUGGCCUGCUCCGUCCUUGAUGCAUUUGACUUGGCCAAUGUCCCUCGUCUUCCUCUCUCGGAUCUUGGCCAUCUUAGAGAUGUCCCUUUCACCUUCCUUCGUGCCUAACCGUUGGUAGAGGUCCUCAUAUGGCCGACCCCUUGCUUCACCAACAGCUCGCUUUGCGGCCUUCUUCGCCAUCUUGUACUUCUCUAUGUUGUCUGCACUCCUAUCCAGGUAUAGGCGUCUGAAGCAAUCUUUCUUCUCUUUAAUCGCCUUCUGGACGUCAUCAUUCCACCACCAGGUAUCCUUAUCUUCGCUUCUCCUUCCCCUGGACACUCCAAACUCCUCCGAGGCCACCUUACGAAUGCAAGUCGCCAUCUUCAUCCACACAUUGUCCGCAUCCACUCCUUCCUCCCAAGGGCCCUCCUUAAUGACCCUCUCCUUGAACACCUGAGCUACCUCCCCCUUGAGCUUCCACCACUUCGUUCUAGCGACUUUGGCACGCUUAUUCCGCUGGACACGAAUCCGAAAGCGGAAGUCAGCAACCACCAGCUUAUGCUGGGGUACAACACUCUCUCCAGGUAUCACCUUACAGUCUAGGCACGCACGCAUAUCUUCUCUUCUCGAGAGGAUGAGAUCAAUCUGGCUAGAGUGUUGGCCACUACUAAAAGUCACCAGAUGUGAUUCUCUCUUUCUAAAGAGGGUGUUAGCUACAAUCAUGUUGUAGGCUAGAGCAAAGCUUAAGACAUCUUCUCCUUCUUGAUUCCUGAUGCCAUGGCCAAAGCCCCCAUGCGCCCUUCAAAACCUGUGUUAGAUGUACCCACGUGGCCAUUGAGGUCUCCUCCUAUGAAGAGCUUCUCACCAAUCGGUACACUCCUAACCAUGUCUUCCAGGCCUUCCCAGAACUCCCUCUUGGUGUUCUCAUUGUGGCCUACUUGCGGGGCAUACGCGCUGAUAACAUUGAGAACCAAGUCCUCAACUACCAGCUUGACCAAGAUAAUCCGGUCCCCACGUCUCUUGACGUCUACCACUCCAUACUUGAGGCUCUUGUUGAUCAAGAUGCCUACGCCAUUUCUGUUUGCAGUCGUCCCCGUGUACCACAACUUGAAGCCGGUAUCCUCCACCUCCUUCGCCUUCUGUCCUCUCCAUUUGGUUUCUUGGACGCAAAGGAUAUCAACACCUCUCCUCACCGCUGCAUCAACUAGCUCCCGAAGCUUCCCUAUCAGAGACCCUACGUUCCAGCUACCUAAGCGAAUCCUCCUAGGCUCGGCUAGCUUCCUUACCCUUCGCAUCCGUCGAGUCAAAUGCGAAGACCCUUGCUCAUUUUCCACUACACCCGGGCGCCGAUGUAGCGCGCCACUAAGGAUGCGAUGACCCGAUCCUCGCUCACUUGCCACCGUAUCCGGAUCAAGAUACGGCGCGCCACUUGGGGGGUGACGGCCCGGCCCUUGCCCACUUUCCACCACACCCGGGUUCCGAUGUGGCGCGUCGCUGAGAGGGUUACGCCCCAACGAAAAUCUUUUGGGUUUCAUCUCCAUAAGAGUGGCUGAGUUUUUACGUUGGCUCGCCAAGCCUAUCACAACCCUCCUCCUUUACCCGGGCUUGGGACCGGCUAUGUUGAGACAACAACUACAGGAGAGCAUAGGUAAAGAAAAUAAAAUACUCUGGAACACAAUGACUUUCAUAUUGCAUUUUUGUCCGUAUGACCUGACUGGCUUUCUUUUUUCCUCCACACCCUUAUGUUGCUUUGUGUGCCCAUGGCCAUCACGCCGAUGCAAUUUCUAGGAUUUGGUUUGUGGUUGGUCAUCUGAUCAUGGCUUCCUCUACUACGUAGGGAUAUGAUGCCUGUGCUCAGUUUGUGUAGAGACUGAGUGCGUGUCUGUUUUGAUCUUCCGAUGGUUGCUAUGCUUGUCCCGGUUAAUAUGAGUUGCUGAUAUAAAAUGCUCAGUGGUGAAAGUAACUGUUAAUCUUUUGCUGGCUGCCAUUUUGAAAUAAAAUGCAGUGCAGGUACUUUCAUGGUGUUAACUUUUAGAGAGAGAAGACAUGGUCGAAUGCAGUGCAAAAUUAAUGUUGCUUUGGCACGAUUGUCCUUUACGUGUUGCUUCCUCUGUUCUUUGUGAUACCUUUUUUUAUACUAACCUUGUGAUGCUUUCUAGUAACCUUAUUUCUUGGCCAUUAAUCAAUAUUGUUUGGCCUGACUUGAUGUUGAUGGUGAAGAAGGUGAAGAAAUCUGUGCUGGAGGGGAUGGUGGAUCCGCAACCACCGAGGAAGGUCGUUUAACUGCAGAAGUUCGAUCUUCCAGAGGCCAGGGCGAUCCCGGGCGGCAUGCACCAUCCGGUGGUGCCCCGGCAGAUGAUUGACCUAUGGAGCUUAUAGUGCCGUUUGGUCUAUUGGAAGUCCGGUGGUACUGGUUUCCUUUAUAUUUCCCACUUCUGUAUUUCUGAGCUUGCCAUUGUGUGUUUCUGCUGAAUGUGAGUGGUGUUGUUCCGGUUGUGUGGAUCAGCUCCGGCGAGAACCUGAUGGGUUCUUUUGCUGGGUUUGUAAAAGUGCUUGUCUAUUUGAAACGCAUGCUACCAAGCCCAAGUUGAAACGAAACCGAUGUAGGUUUCUGCUGGUCUCAUGCUUGAGUUCCAUAAAAGCCUCUCCUGGCCGCCGCGGCCAAGGCUGCUCCGGUGGCUGCAAGGAUUAAUGACUCAGGGCUGUUCCAUAG
RNAcentral lists this long non-coding RNA (8992 nucleotides) under Triticum aestivum (bread wheat). Its description in RNAcentral is "long non-coding RNA (TAES_LNC014551)". Lineage: Eukaryota; Viridiplantae; Streptophyta; Magnoliopsida; Poales; Poaceae. The record is from RNAcentral.